This is a long non-coding RNA of Poecilia latipinna (sailfin molly), 1569 nucleotides long. RefSeq lists it as uncharacterized. The transcript has 2 exons. The record is from RefSeq and is a predicted model, not a curated record. NCBI's taxonomy places the organism in Eukaryota, Metazoa, Chordata, Actinopteri, Cyprinodontiformes, Poeciliidae.
AUAUAGGAAUGUGUGUGUGCUUAGUGUGUUCUUUUCUGUAGCUUUUCAAAAAAAAAAAGAUGUCAAGUUUGAAUCUGCAAACAAACACUCAACAUCUAUACAAGUGUGAACUAGCUUAAUCACAUUGACAGUCGUCCUGGGUUCUGCUUUUGAUAAGCCAUUAUAAAAUAUCACACACAAACACACACAUGGCAUUCUUUUUGACGUCUGAGCCAAACAGUUGAAAGAGAUAAAUCUGUGAAGUGUUUGAGUUGCAGUGCAGAUCUCUUCUCUCUGUGUGCGUGUGUCAGCGUUUCAACUGCUUCUAACCUCACUGUUAAAUCAGACGAGUCUGUUAACUUGAAGCUAAUUUCUGGACUACAGGGAGCACCUGAAUAUAGACCGCACCAAUUAACUUUGAAAAGAAAAACAUUUAUGGGUUGCACUUGUUACAUAUUAUAUUAUUAUUUGAUCAUAUUAUUUUGAUGUUUUAUUAUAAUUAUUUUACUUUUAAUUUUUCAUUCUUAACCAAAUCAUGUAAUAAAAUAAAAGGUCUUUUGUGUCAAAAAGUGCAUCUGUACUGCCACAUUAGCGAUCUGAAAAUAUUAGUCAUUCAUAACAAAAUGUAUUACAUACAAAAAAUAUUAUGUUAGUACAGAAUACAUUCUGUACUAAUAUACAGAAUGUUACUAACUACAUAAGUUAUGUACUUAUGUUAGUAUGUUAGUAGCAUAAUAACUUCUUAGUAUGUUAGUUAAAUGUAACUAACAUACCAACAUAUGUUUGUAUGCCAAUUAGUAACAUGGUUAGUAUGUUACUAACUGUGCUAAUAACAUACUAACGUGUUAGUUAAAUGUACAUAACAUACUAACACAUUUUAUUUACUAACAUGCUAACAUAUGCUAGUAUGUUGGUUAAAUUUAACAUACUAAAACAUGUUAGCACUAACAUAUUCUGUUAGUUUUACUACCAAAUUAGUAUGUUACUAAUAUACUAACUUAUGUCAGUAUUUUAGCUAAAUGUAACUAACAUACUAGCAUGUGUUAGUAUGUUACUGACUAACAUACCAUAUUUUCCGGACAAUAAGCCGCAACUUUAUUCUAAGCUUUGAACAAUGCUGCUUAUAGUCCGGAAAAUACAGUACUAGUAUGUUACUGACAUACUAACUUGUUAGUAUGUUAGUUACUAACAACUAGUAGUACUAUAUUAGUAUGUUAGAAUACUAACAUAUUCUGUUCUUUAAAGUCACAGCUGUGACACAGAAGCAUUGUGACAUUUAUUGUGUUUUCUAAGUUUUCCAUGAAGGAGAGUUUUACCCACUUACUGUAAUGUUAAUCCCACUUAAAUGGAAUUGAAUGUUUCACAAGCACCAAGUUCAUCUCCAUUUGGGUCAGCAAUAAAGUGGUCUAAAGACAAACUAAGCUGCCGGCCUUCUUCUAAAACUCCAUUUAAUAACAGGAAAUAAACAUGUUUCUGUCAAGAGCGGGCUGCCAUUAUGCAAGUUGGGAAAGUAAGAGAUAAAAAAAAUAUGCAUGAACAGCAUUUCCAUAACAACCAGAGCUGGAUUCUGCUUAAUAAAUAGAAAAAAAA